Molecule: transfer RNA, 87 nt
Filed under: Candidatus Peribacteria bacterium
Lineage: Bacteria; Candidatus Peregrinibacteriota; Candidatus Peribacteria
Description: tRNA-Leu
Rfam family: tRNA
About the family: Transfer RNA (tRNA) molecules are approximately 80 nucleotides in length. Their secondary structure includes four short double-helical elements and three loops (D, anti-codon, and T loops).
Source: RNAcentral
GCCGAUGUGGCGGAAUUGGUAGACGCGCACGCUUCAGGAGCGUGUGAGAGCAAUCUUGUGCGAGUUCGAGUCUCGCCAUCGGCACCA